UACGUAGGGUGCGAGCGUUGUCCGGAAUUAUUGGGCGUAAAGAGCUCGUAGGCGGUUUGUCGCGUCGGCCGUGAAAUCUCCACGCUUAACGUGGAGCGUGCGGUCGAUACGGGCAGACUUGAGUUCGGUAGGGGAGACUGGAAUUCCUGGUGUAGCGGUGAAAUGCGCAGAUAUCAGGAAGAACACCCGUGGCGAAAGCGGCUCUCUGGAACGGUACUGACGCUGAGACGCGAAAGCGUGGGGAGCGAACAGG
This 253-nucleotide ribosomal RNA is filed under the name uncultured bacterium. RNAcentral's name for it is "partial 16S ribosomal RNA". It matches the Rfam family "Bacterial small subunit ribosomal RNA", at positions 524 to 776 of the family's 1533-position model. The record is from RNAcentral.